Molecule: non-coding RNA, 2348 nt
Organism: Aegilops tauschii subsp. strangulata
Lineage: Eukaryota; Viridiplantae; Streptophyta; Magnoliopsida; Poales; Poaceae
Source: RefSeq, a predicted model, not a curated record
CCCCUUCUCCUCCCCCAACCUGCUUCUUUCCUCUCUCUACUACCGCAACGACUUUCUUGGUUUCAUUUGGUUUCUACUGCUGGCGAGGGCGGUCACGCUGCUGAGGCCAGAGUGCGCUUGUUCGGGUUGUGGUUCUACUCAUCGACCUGCGGUUUGAUGCUUGUAAUUGGAGGGGCCUGCUGGACUCGGCGCCCGUGAGAUUCGGGGAGCUUGGGUGCUGAUUUGUACUGGAAUUUCUGCGGUUUUCUCGGGAGCUACGGUGCAUUAGGGUUCUAGUGGCGGGUUUCUGUAUCUGCCAGGGGGGUUUUGGAGAUUAUCUGGAAAUGCCGGAAUUUUCUGAUCCCGGCGAGGGACUGCUCUGCAGUUCUGACCGCAAUUUGACUAAGCAUGGUAUGAGCAACUCGUGGAAGAGGGGAGACUGCUAGAGAACUACGAGGGGCUUAAGCAGGAGCAUGAUAAGAAGGUGGGGCUGCUGACGAAGCAGGAGGUCGUGAAAUAUGGCACAUAAGUCCACAUGUAAUUAGGAAUGAUUAGUUCUUAUGGGCAGGGCGAUAGGGAUUUCACGAGUCUUAUUAGAUUCUUUGUUACCAUGUGUUGUCGAAGUUAAUUGAGUAUUGGCAGCAUGGUCUAACCUCUUUGAGGUUGCUGAGUUUAGCCCUCUGGUACAACAAGGACAAGGAACUUAUAAAUGUUCAGGUUACAUAUUUUUAAGCAUCCAGCCUGUGUCGGUAGUGAAUUCAGUAUGCUUAAUAAUAAUAACUUGCCAUGUCAAAGACGUAAUAUUUGAUAAGUUUUGGUUUAACCUACAAGUAAUUGCCAACGGAAAUCUGUUGCUUCUUAUGCGCUAAACCUACUGUGACUUUCUACAAUGCAGGUUAACCAAUUAACUGAACCACAAGGAUAGAGAUAUACACUCUAUUCAACAAUUUUCUCGAGAAGUUUGAUUUGUAUUUGAUAUUUCAUGGACUUAAAUAAUCUCUAUCUGUAAACACAUUGGUUUCUUUCAUCCAGUGAACCCAGGUAAUAAGUGAAGAUGAAUAUUACAUGUGUAUAUUACUUUUUCCUCUGUCGUUAGAUUAUGUUCAGAAUAUUUCUGAUAUUUUUUUGGAAUGCUAGGACCAUCACAUAUAAAAAAGAACUUUAAAUCACAAAAAAUGUUGAUUUCUUUUAUUAAAGAUCUCGAGGGUGAGACAAUUUUCAGCAGUUUCAGAGGAAUAGCUUAAGUACCAUAUAGAGGAUGACACAAAUGGUAAUGAACACAUCAUGGAUCUUGCAUUAAUUUUCUUAUUCUAGCAGUACAAUUUGUGCAGGGAAGUCAUUCAUUUGUCAUGCCAUGGAAGUAUCGUUUGAAGUUUCCUUGGUGUCAAGACUUUUUUUUCAACAUCUAUGAGGUGGCAAGCAAAGUUAUGGUAACUGCAGUUCAUAUCAGGUAUAAUGUGAAACGUAGGUCCAUCAUCUCAUCAUCCUUUACGCCCUUUCUUUCCUUAAUAUUUUACAGCAAACCAACGGAUUAGCUAACCACAAGCUUAGUAUGUGGUAUACUGCAUAAAUAUCUAGCUUGGUAGAAAGCAUGGUCAGUAGAGUGUUUUCUAACCAUGCACUAGUAGUGCCCACUCCAUGCUACUGUUAUGUACACAGACGAGAAGUUUGUUUGAGAAAGAGUAUGCUUGCUUCCUUUCAUCUAAUAUCAUAUGUUUCUGUUUCCUAUGUGAAACUGAUGGUUCAUGUCUCUAACUUCUACUGCUUUACAGUUUUGCACAAAAGCUUUUGUAACCAUGAUGCUGAUAUACCUAUGAUUAUUACUUCAUGUGCUACUAUAUAUGUAGGGAGAUUUUUAUAAAGGUACCAGAAUUUAUCUUCUUCCACAUUAAGUCAAUAUUUAGUAACGCAGUUCUAUUUUCGUUUGCAAACCAGUUCAUUCGACACAAGGAAGAAAAUCUACUCUGGAUAGUUGAUUUAGUGUUUCUUGAACAUGGCCAGGGCAAUGGAUAAAAUCUACUCUGGAUAGUUGACAGAGGGAGUACAUGCUAAGUUGAAUUUUUUCCUGCGGAUUUGCUUAUUGUGAAGAUGCUUGCAAGGAUGCAGAGGGAGCGGAUCAUUUGGAGAGAUAGGAUGCCACUGUUUGGUGUUUUUAUGCAUUUUGGUUUGCUUGUAACUCUGUUUGCACUAGCUGGGAGUAAGUGACUUCAAGAAGUGUAGGUGUUUUAAUUGAAGGUAUGAAAAGACAUGACAAUAUGUAUGAUCUUACAUGAUGUGCUCUAAUGCCACUGGUUUAUUAUAAAUCUUGGAUUAGUAAUGAUGUGUAAUGCUGCUGGUUUAUUGCAAAUAUGUGUUUGUUUUAGUUGGAA